GAACCAAAAUCACCUAUACUACUUCGUUUUGAAAUGUACCCUUAUUUGCCCUAAAUCUAAAAGUCAGUAGAGAAGCUAAUCUCCAUUCCACGCCGCCUCACAUCACACAUGCCUCUGCCUCCUCUCCUCACUGUCGCUCUCUAGUCUCUCUGUCACUGGUGGAUUUGUAGUUUUCUCCCAAGAGCCUCUUCGCGGCCUCCACACAAUCGUCGGCGUCGGUCGUCGCUCUCCACGCAAUCGUCGGUCGUCGCUCUCCAGUCCAUCGGCUCUCCGCGCCGUCAGCAACUUGGUUGUCCUCAAUCCUCUGUCUUCCUCAGUUCAGUCCUCAGUCCUCAUCAGCAACUGUAAAAGGUAAGUAAUUUUAUUUUUAUAAAGAGUAUGUUCUGAAAGGAGAGUGUUUAUGAUAUGCAAACACUAUCUGUAGACACAAAUGAUAUUUGUUCAUUGUGAAAUGCAUCCAGGCAUGCUAGCUUCUACAUCGAGCCAUUGAAUUGGGGAUUUUUGUAUCUGGUUCUUUGUUUUAUAGUCGUUUUAGAAGGCAUAAGGGGAACUGUUUUGGGUCUUUUAUAAAAAGUCAUUUUGAAAUAAAUGAAUUCACGACAAAAGUGGCUUUAUUUUGCAAGAAUUCUGACUCAUUUAAUGAAGUGUUCUAUUGAAAACCCUUAAAAACAACCUACUUUAACUCACAUUUAUUUGUAAAUAAGGGCAAAAUAGAAAAUGAGGACGUUAAUUUUAGUUGUUAGCUGUUCCAAAAACUAGAAUUCAAAUGAACUCUCAUUUUAAAAUUGAUUCUGGACACAUGAAUUUUCUUA
Long non-coding RNA from Manihot esculenta (cassava), 812 nucleotides. RefSeq lists it as uncharacterized. The transcript is spliced from 2 exons. The record is from RefSeq and is a predicted model, not a curated record. Lineage: Eukaryota; Viridiplantae; Streptophyta; Magnoliopsida; Malpighiales; Euphorbiaceae.